UACAGGGGGUGCAAACGUUGCUCGGAAUUAUUGGGCGUAAAGCGCGCGUAGGCGGCUACUUAAGUCGGAUGUGAAAGCCCCUGGCUCAACUGGGGAAGUGCACCCGAAACUGAGCAGCUAGAGUACGAAAGAGGGUCGCGGAAUUCCCGGUGUAGAGGUGAAAUUCGUAGAUAUCGGGAGGAACACCGGUGGCGAAGGCGGCGACCUGGGUCGAUACUGACGCUGAGGCGUGAAAGCGUGGGGAGCAAACAGG
RNAcentral lists this ribosomal RNA (253 nucleotides) under uncultured bacterium. RNAcentral's name for it is "partial 16S ribosomal RNA". It matches the Rfam family "Bacterial small subunit ribosomal RNA", at positions 524 to 776 of the family's 1533-position model. The record is from RNAcentral.